UGUCCAGGGUUAGGAAUCGAACCCACAGUGUUCCGCUUACCGGGCAUUUUCCAUGUCCACUAGGCUACCCUGGAC
Molecule: transfer RNA, 75 nt
Filed under: Cordylochernes scorpioides
Lineage: Eukaryota; Metazoa; Arthropoda; Arachnida; Pseudoscorpiones; Chernetidae
Description: tRNA-Thr
Source: RNAcentral